GAUGAACGCUAGCGGCAGGCUUAACACAUGCAAGUCGAGGGGCAGCAUAAUGGUAGUAAUACUAUUGAUGGCGACCGGCGGACGGGUGCGUAACGCGUAUGCAACCUACCCUUUACAGGGGGAUAACACUGAGAAAUCGGUACUAAUACCCCAUAAUAUUCUGGGAGGCAUCUUUCGGAGUUGAAAGCUUUGGUGGUAAAGGAUGGGCAUGCGUUGUAUUAGCUAGUUGGUAAGGUAACGGCUUACCAAGGCGACGAUACAUAGGGGGACUGAGAGGUAGGUCCCCCACAUUGGAACUGAGACACGGUCCAAACUCCUACGGGAGGCAGCAGUGAGGAAUAUUGGUCAAUGGGCGAGAGCCUGAACCAGCCAAGUAGCGUGAAGGAUGACUGCCCUAUGGGUUGUAAACUUCUUUUAUAAAGGAUAAAGUCGGGUAUGGAUACCCGUUUGCAUGUACUUUAUGAAUAAGGAUCGGCUAACUCCGUG
This 486-nucleotide ribosomal RNA is filed under the name uncultured bacterium. RNAcentral describes it as "bacterial SSU rRNA". It matches the Rfam family "Bacterial small subunit ribosomal RNA", at positions 28 to 507 of the family's 1533-position model. The record is from RNAcentral.